AACCCUUGUUUUGUGUUGCCAGCAUGCCCUUCGGGGUGAUGGGGACUCACAGGAGACUGCCGGGGUCAACUCGGAGGAAGGUGGGGACGACGUCAAGUCAUCAUGCCCCUUAUGUCUUGGGCUGCACACGUGCUACAAUGGCCGGUACAAUGAGCUGCGAUACCGCGAGGUGGAGCGAAUCUCAAAAAGCCGGUCUCAGUUCGGAUUGGGGUCUGCAACUCGACCCCAUGAAGUCGGAGUUGCUAGUAAUCGCAGAUCAGCAUUGCUGCGGUGAAUACGUUCCCGGGCCUUGUACACACCGCCCGUCACGUCACGAAAGUCGGUAACACCCGAAGCCGGUGGCCCAACCCCUUG
This 354-nucleotide ribosomal RNA is filed under the name Streptomyces sp. RNAcentral's name for it is "bacterial SSU rRNA". It matches the Rfam family "Bacterial small subunit ribosomal RNA", at positions 1100 to 1445 of the family's 1533-position model. Lineage: Bacteria; Bacillati; Actinomycetota; Actinomycetes; Kitasatosporales; Streptomycetaceae. The record is from RNAcentral.